ACCAAAAGGCGGGGAUGGGGUCUACAGUUGGUGUGUACAAGACGAUGAGGAACCCGGUGAGAAUCCGGGGCGGUCGCGCCACUGUGACUUCGUUAGCGGUUGGGCAGUACGCCUGGUCAACCUGGUCGUUCCAGGAAGGGACAGCCCGAUUAUUGGAUCUGCUGGGGUGAAAACCCCAGGUUGGGAUCGUGUUUAACGAAGCAGCCAGAUACUCGCGUUUUGUAUUUACUUUCU
Molecule: non-coding RNA, 234 nt
Filed under: Corynebacterium kroppenstedtii
Lineage: Bacteria; Bacillati; Actinomycetota; Actinomycetes; Mycobacteriales; Corynebacteriaceae
Source: RNAcentral